Molecule: ribosomal RNA, 440 nt
Filed under: uncultured bacterium
Lineage: Bacteria
Description: partial 16S ribosomal RNA
Rfam family: Bacterial small subunit ribosomal RNA
Source: RNAcentral
CCUACGGGAGGCAGCAGUAGGGAAUAUUGCUCAAUGGGGGAAACCCUGAAGCAGCGACGCCGCGUGAGGGAUGAAGGUUUUCGGAUUGUAAACUCCUAUUAUUAGGGAAGAUAAUGACGGUAUCUGACUAAUAAGCACCGGCUAACUCCGUGCCAGCAGCCGCGGUAAUACGGAGGGGGCAAGCGUUACUCGGAAUCACUGGGCGUAAAGAGCGCGUAGGCGGGAUAGCAAGUCAGAUGUGAAAUACUAUGGCUUAACCCUAGGACUGCAUUUGAAACUGUUAAUCUAGAGUAUGGGAGAGGUAGGUGGAAUUCUUGGUGUAGGGGUAAAAUGCGUAGAGAUUAAGAGGAAUACUAAUUGCGAAGGCGACCUGCUAGAACAUAACUGACGCUGAUGCGCGAAAGCGUGGGGAGCAAACAGGAUUAGAUACCCCGGUAGUC